CCAUUUGCAGCCACUCGCCGCUUUGAACUUCGUAAUGGGAAAUCUAGGGCUUCUCUUCUUUUUUUUCUCUACAGCUUGUUUAUGAGAGACCAAGGGUUGAUGGUUCUUAUUCGAGUCGGUGUUUGUGUUAUACGGGUCAGUCGAGUAAACCCGAAUUGACCUGUUUAACAAAUGGGUAAAUUUAGGUUGACCCGUUUAUGACCCAACCCAUGUAAUUCAACUCAUACCCAUUAUAAACGGGUCGGGUUGAUGGGUCGGGUCAUAAAUUGCCACCCCUAACCGUAGCACUCUUAAGCCUAACAGUGGAGGCUUUAAUUUGCACGCAUGAUUGGUUAUAUGAUAUCAAUGGUAGACAAUUACUAAUGUUAUAAUUUUUACAUUUUUUUGCAUUAGAACACAUGUUAUGAAUUUGCUUAUUGGUUUUUUUAUUUUUUUUAUUAAUGAUAGAUGACAUGCAACCAAAAUUAGAUGAGCUUUCCGAGGAUAUCAUGCAAUUAGAUGUUGGAGAAUCUAUGCCAACACAAGAGUGAUAGCAUUUGCUUUCAAGGUCAAAUCGGCAUUAUUGUUGCUGAAAAGUAGCUUUUGCUAUGCCAUUUCUGGUUUGAUGAAGAAUUGGUAAACUUGAAAUUGAAUCUUAUAGGAGUUGUGCAAAUAUUGACUUGCAUUUUGGUAUCUGUUCUAUUUUGGCAAUUGAUAACAAUUUGUACUUGACCUAGAAUAUUAUUUGUUGUGCAAAUAAGAUUUUUUUUUA
Asparagus officinalis (garden asparagus) is the source of this 751-nucleotide long non-coding RNA. RefSeq lists it as uncharacterized. The record is from RefSeq and is a predicted model, not a curated record. NCBI's taxonomy places the organism in Eukaryota, Viridiplantae, Streptophyta, Magnoliopsida, Asparagales, Asparagaceae. The transcript has 2 exons.